GUGUGUGUGGGGGAAAGAUGCAAAAACACCACCAAAAAAUGAAAAAUCACAGUUUGUUAGUAAUAAUAUAAUAUGUGGGAUAUAAUGGAGUACCACGUUGCUGUAUAACUGAUUUUACAUUUCUGUCCUUUCAGAACUUUCAAAAGAUUGUGGAAAUUGGGCACCAGCAUCAUUUUCAUCUAGCCAUUAGGUGAAAUAUCAAACCUCCUUACCUGUCCCUGGAAAUAGAUUCUUCGCUCCCACACUAAACUUCUGCAGGAAAAGUAUUAUUGUCCAAGUCAUGAUAACUCAGAAUAAGUGCGUAAGGACAGUCUAAAUCAACUUCCAUUCGCCUGCCGUUCAGCGCUUUGGGACUCUUCGUCAGCAAGCUCCUUCUGACAGCUAUUUAUAGCUCAACAUUUCAGCAAGAUAAUUGCAGGAAGAAGAAGGAAAACCGAGAAAAAUGGAAUUUGUA
Molecule: long non-coding RNA, 454 nt
Filed under: Calidris pugnax (ruff)
Lineage: Eukaryota; Metazoa; Chordata; Aves; Charadriiformes; Scolopacidae
Description: lncRNA (ENSCPUG00000012351.1)
Source: RNAcentral